GAUGAACGCUGGCGGCGUGCCUAAUACAUGCAAGUCGAACGAACAGAUCAUGAUCUUGCGCCUCGCACGUGUGCGGCGGACGUGUGUAUAACAUGUGUAUCACCUACCUAUCUUACUGGUAACUCUUCGGGACUCGGGCUCUUAUCGCAUAGAAUCUAUUGAAGCACAGUGGGGGAUGGUAAAUGUCGGCGGUUCUGGCUCGUAUCGCUGCUUCUGCGCCGGAUUAGAUAGUUGUUAAGUUAACAGCUUACGAAGGCAACGAUGCGUAUCCGAACUGAGAGGGUGAUCGGCCACACUGGAAGUGAGACACGGUCCAGACUCCUACGGGAGGCAGCAGUAGGGAAUCUGACGCAAUGGGCGAAAGUCUGACGGAGUAACGCCGCGUGAGUGAUGAAGGUGUUGCGAUCGUAAAACUCUGUUAUUAGGGAAGAACAAAUGUGUAAGUAAAUAUGCACGUCUUGACGGUACCUAAUAAGAAAGCACCGGCUAACUACGUG
RNAcentral lists this ribosomal RNA (497 nucleotides) under uncultured bacterium. RNAcentral's name for it is "partial 16S ribosomal RNA". It matches the Rfam family "Bacterial small subunit ribosomal RNA", at positions 28 to 507 of the family's 1533-position model. The record is from RNAcentral.